RNAcentral lists this ribosomal RNA (482 nucleotides) under uncultured Bacteroidota bacterium. RNAcentral's name for it is "bacterial SSU rRNA". It matches the Rfam family "Bacterial small subunit ribosomal RNA", at positions 355 to 835 of the family's 1533-position model. Lineage: Bacteria; Pseudomonadati; Bacteroidota. The record is from RNAcentral.
UAAGGAAUAUUGGUCAAUGGACGCAAGUCUGAACCAGCCAUGCCGCGUGGAGGAUGAAGGUCCUCUGGAUUGUAAACUUCUUUUAUAUGGGACGAAAAAGGGCUUUUCUAAGUCAACUGACGGUACCAUAUGAAUAAGCACCGGCUAACUCCGUGCCAGCAGCCGCGGUAAUACGGAGGGUGCAAGCGUUAUCCGGAUUCACUGGGUUUAAAGGGUGCGUAGGUGGGUUGGUAAGUCAGUGGUGAAAUCCCCGAGCUUAACUCGGGAACUGCCAUUGAUACUAUCAGUCUUGAAUACCGUGGAGGUCAGCGGAAUAUGUCAUGUAGCGGUGAAAUGCUUAGAUAUGACAUAGAACACCAAUUGCGAAGGCAGCUGGCUACACGAUUAUUGACACUGAGGCACGAAAGCGUGGGGAUCAAACAGGAUUAGAUACCCUGGUAGUCCACGCCUAAACUAUGGAUACUCGACAUACGCGAUACACU